GAUGAACGCUGGCGGCGUGCCUAAUACAUGCAAGUCGAGCGAAUGGAUUAAGAGCUUGCUCUUAUGAAGUUAGCGGCGGACGGGUGAGUAACACGUGGGUAACCUGCCCAUAAGACUGGGAUAACUCCGGGAAACCGGGGCUAAUACCGGAUAACAUUUUGAACCGCAUGGUUCGAAAUUGAAAGGCGGCUUCGGCUGUCACUUAUGGAUGGACCCGCGUCGCAUUAGCUAGAUGGUGAGGUAACGGCUCACCAAGGCAACGAUGCGUAGCCGACCUGAGAGGGUGAUCGGCCACACUGGGACUGAGACACGGCCCAGACUCCUACGGGAGGCAGCAGUAGGGAAUCUUCCGCAGUGGACGAAAGUCUGACGGAGCAACGCCGCGUGAGUGAUGAAGGCUUUCGGGUCGUAAAACUCUGUUGUUAGGGAAGAACAAGUGCUAGUUGAAUAAGCUGGCACCUUGACGGUACCUAACCAGAAAGCCACGGCUAACUACGUGCCAGCCGCCGCCGCAG
This 515-nucleotide ribosomal RNA is filed under the name uncultured bacterium. Its description in RNAcentral is "partial 16S ribosomal RNA". It matches the Rfam family "Bacterial small subunit ribosomal RNA", at positions 28 to 523 of the family's 1533-position model. The record is from RNAcentral.